Non-coding RNA from Myotis davidii, 75 nucleotides. Lineage: Eukaryota; Metazoa; Chordata; Mammalia; Chiroptera; Vespertilionidae. The record is from Rfam.
GGUGGUUCUUGGGUGAUGCACCCUGGAAUCGGGCUCCUUCCUCUCUAGUUCUGGGUGCAUCACCAAAGAACAGCA